UGGGGAAUUUUGGACAAUGGGCGAAAGCCUGAUCCAGCAAUGCCGCGUGUGUGAAGAAGGCCUUCGGGUUGUAAAGCACUUUUGUCCGGAAAGAAAUCCUUGGCUCUAAUACAGUCGGGGGAUGACGGUACCGGAAGAAUAAGCACCGGCUAACUACGUGCCAGCAGCCGCGGUAAUACGUAGGGUGCAAGCGUUAAUCGGAAUUACUGGGUAGAGCGNCGCGGUUGUUAAGACCGAUGUGAAAUCCCCGGGCUCAACCUGGGAACUGCAUUGGUGACUGGCAGGCUAGAGUAUGGCAGAGGGGGGUAGAAUUCCACGUGUAGCAGUGAAAUGCGUAGAGAUGUGGAGGAAUACCGAUGGCGAAGGCAGCCCCCUGGGCCAAUACUGACGCUCAUGCACGAAAGCGUGGGGGAGCAAACAGGAUUAGAUACCCUGGUAGUCCACGCCCUAAACGAUGUCAACUAGUUGUUGGGGAUUCAUUUCCUUAGUAACGUAGCUAACGCGUGAAGUUGACCGCCUGGGGAGUACGGUCGCAAGAUUAAAACUUAAAUGAAUUGACGGGGUCAUAGCUGUUUCCU
RNAcentral lists this ribosomal RNA (578 nucleotides) under uncultured bacterium. Its description in RNAcentral is "partial 16S ribosomal RNA". It matches the Rfam family "Bacterial small subunit ribosomal RNA", at positions 355 to 1375 of the family's 1533-position model. The record is from RNAcentral.